AUUGAACGCUGGCGGCAUGCCUUACACAUGCAAGUCGAACGGUAACAGGUUAAGCUGACGAGUGGCGAACGGGUGAGUAAUAUAUCGGAACGUGCCCAGUCGUGGGGGAUAACGUAGCGAAAGCUACGCUAAUACCGCAUACGAUCUACGGAUGAAAGCGGGGGAUCGCAAGACCUCGCGCGAUUGGAGCGGCCGAUAUCAGAUUAGGUUGUUGUGGAGGUAAAAGCUCACCAAGCCUGCGAUCUGUAGCUGGUCUGAGAGGACGACCAGCCACACUGGAACUGAGACACGGUCCAGACUCCUACGGGAGGCAGCAGUGGGGAAUUUUGGACAAUGGACGCAAGUCUGAUCCAGCAAUGCCGCGUGCAGGACGAAGGCCUUCGGGUUGUAAACUGCUUUUGUACGGAACGAAACGGUGAGCUCUAAUACAGUUUGCUAAUGACGGUACCGUAAGAAUAAGCACCGGCUAACUACGUGCCAGCAGCCGCCGUAA
This 493-nucleotide ribosomal RNA is filed under the name uncultured bacterium. RNAcentral describes it as "partial 16S ribosomal RNA". It matches the Rfam family "Bacterial small subunit ribosomal RNA", at positions 30 to 523 of the family's 1533-position model. The record is from RNAcentral.